RNAcentral lists this ribosomal RNA (1525 nucleotides) under Zorotypus novobrittanicus. RNAcentral's name for it is "eukaryotic LSU rRNA". It matches the Rfam family "Eukaryotic large subunit ribosomal RNA", at positions 666 to 1833 of the family's 3401-position model. The record is from RNAcentral. Lineage: Eukaryota; Metazoa; Arthropoda; Insecta; Zoraptera; Zorotypidae.
CCAAGGAGUUCAAAUUGUGCGCAAGUCUAAAGGUAAUUAAUAAACCCGAAGGCGAAAUGAAAGUGAAACUGUAGGAAGGCGAAGUUGCGCGUUCUUCCGCGGUAGAUUUAUUUGCCGCUGGUUCGUUUCGCGUAUUCUUCCAUAACCUUUCUUUUAACAAAGGGAAGAUGGAGAUAACUGACGUUUCUCCCGCAUUCCCGGGGCGCCCCGGAGCAGGCCGGGGUGCACCCAGAGCGUACAAUAUGAUACCCGAAAGAUGGUGAUCUAUACUUGGCCGGGACGAAGUCGGGGGAAACCCCGGUGGAGGUCCUAAGCGAUUCUGACGUGCAAAUCGAUCGCAAGAGCUAAGCAUAGGGGCGAAAGACCAAUCGAACCAUCUAGUAGCUGGUUCCCUCCGAAGUUUCCCUCAGGAUAGCUGGCGCUCAUUAACAAAAUAUUGGAGUCUCAUCUGGUAAAGCUAAUGACUAGAGGCAUUGGGGCCGAAUCGGCCUUGACCUAUUAUCAAACUGUAAAUGGGUGAAAACUCGAAGCCUACCUAAAAAUCGAAGAAACUCCCACGGGUGUUUUUUUCGAGGCUCGAGGAACUUUUUAAAAGUUUGUGUUUGGAAACGAUCCGCUCAUAGUCCUUUUUUUAAGGGAUUUGUGUUGGACAGGAUCUUGAACGCAAACAGAAAUAACAAAAAUGAGAUCCGAGUGCCCAGUGGGCCGUUUCUGGUAAGCAGAACUGGUGCUGCGGGAUGAACCGAACGCGGAGUUAAGGCGCCUAAGCGGGAGCUGACCUUGUCCCCUCAAAGGGGGCCGGUCGCUAGUGACAGCAGGUCGGUGGCUAUGGAGGUUGGCAUCCGCUAAGGAGUGUGUAACAACUCACCUGCCGAAGUGACUGAUGUUGAAAAUGGAUGGCGCUUGAGCUCCCCGCCUAUACUCCGCCGUCGGAGGCAGUGAUCGCGGCGUUCUUUUAACCGAGGCGCCACGCUGAAGCCCCGACGAGUAGGAGGGUCGCUGCGGUGGCGUAGAAGGGUGAGGCGUGAGCCGACCUGGAGCCUCCGUGGGUGCAGAUCUUGGUGGUAGUAGCAAUUACUCUAAAGAGACACCUGGAGGGCCGCGGAGAUGGGUUUCGUGACAACAGCAGUUGGACACGAGUUAAUCGAUCCUAAGCAGCGAGGGAAACCUCUUUCACUGUGAGUCCCUUCAGCAAGGACAAUGAAACAACAAUGAAUGCUGCGAAAGGGAAUCAGGUUAAUAUUCCUGAAUCUGGUGGCGGCAGACGCAAAUCAAUGAGUGCCCUCGUUGGAGCAACUUUUUUUAAUUUGCUCAUUUCCUGGCAACAGGAGUCAACCCGGGGACGCCGCGGGGAGGCCAAGGAAGAGUUAUCUUUUCUUGUUAAGUGCUUGUGGACCCUGUAAGUCUUUCUAUGAGAGAUUGGGUAUGAAGCACGAAAGAGCGCCGCAGCUGUGUGGUGUCUUGGUUCUCCUCCUGGCCCUUGAAAACCCGGGUGAGGUGCAAGGCGUGCUGUUCGCAACGUGGU